Phoenix dactylifera (date palm) is the source of this 1404-nucleotide non-coding RNA. The record is from RefSeq and is a predicted model, not a curated record. NCBI's taxonomy places the organism in Eukaryota, Viridiplantae, Streptophyta, Magnoliopsida, Arecales, Arecaceae.
AUGAUGGAACACUUGAGUUAGUUUCUAAUAGAGGAGAAUGUUGUUGAUUCUAUGGAUGAUCUAGAGGUAGCUAUGUAAUUUUCACCAGUGGUUCUUCCUUUGUUGACAACUUUUGGAAGAAACUUGGGCAUCUUAAAUUUAGCGUUAACGGUUGAUGAUUCCUUGGUUGGUCUUAGACUUGGAAUAUUUUAACAUGAAUCUUCUAUUUGUUGGGAUGAUGUGGGUAAGAGAAAAUCAUUAGGCUCAGAGAUAGUGCAACAGACCAUAUAUAAGGUGCAGGUGAUCAGAGAACGACUUCAUACAGCUCAGAGUCGUCAAAAGAGUUAUGUUGAUAAUAGAAGGAGAGAACUGAAAUUUUAAUUGGAGAAUCAUGUUUUCUGGAGAGUAUCACCCACUAAAUUGAGCUCUAAGUAUGUUGGUCCGUUUGAGAUUUUGGAUAAGGUUGGAGAUGUGGCAUAUCGAAUGGCUUUACCACUGACUUUAUCUAGUGUGCACGAUGUAUUUUAUGAAGAAAUACAUCGCAGACCCGAGCUAUGUGGUAGCAUAUGAGCCAUUACAUCUACAUGAGGAUUUGACCUAUGAGGAGUUCCCAACACGAAUCAUGGACAGAAAAGAUCAGGUACUACGGCAUCGAACCAUUCCUUUUAUAAAGGUACAAUGAAACAAUCAUACGGAAAGAGAGGCUACUUGGGAGCUCGAAGAAGAGAUGAAGGUCAAGUAUCUGCAGUUAUUCGAAACCUCAGGUGUAUAAAUUUCGAGGACGAAAUUUUUUUUUAGGAGAGGAGAAUGUAAGGGCCCACAUUUUUUGGGGCUUGGGCUAGCCCGACACACCUGAAACGGGAGGGAGACUCCCGAAUAGAGUCUUCCCUCCCCUGUUUCUAUUGCUCCCAUGAAUCCACCGGAAGAGGAAACAAAGAAAAAAAAAAGAGAGAGGGAGACGGGAUCAAAUCCUACCUUAUUUGAAUCAAUUUACAUCUAUAUAAAAAAAGAAUCUCUUCCCCUCUUCCUUAGGGCAUCAACCGAGAGUCUUUCCACAAAAAAAAAAGGGGAGAAAAGAGGGAUUUGGAGUUCUAGGCGAUCCGUGGGAGAAGCUCGGGUUGCUCGCCGUUGGACCAGCCGGAAAGGCUCGCCGGAGGCAAGGGGAACAAUUUGUUGGACGAAAGGACGCUGAGCAGGGUUCUGCAUAUCCGGAUUUAUAGAUCGCCGUGAGGGUGGGUGAUUAGUCUGUCCGAGUUAACAAAGGAGUUACAUGAUGCAUUGAUUUGGACAGGAUGGGCGCAGAGUGCAAGUACCCGAGUCAUUGGUUAGUUGGUUUGUUUAUCUUUCUUUGAUGUUGAUGAACAUUUGAAGAUCUUGUAAUUGAACUAAUUUGUUUAUCUGGUGUGGACAUGUUGGAUUUGUCUA